GAUGAACGCUGGCGGCGUGCCUAAUACAUGCAAGUCGAACGCUGAAGGAGGAGCUUGCUCUUCUGGAUGAGUUGCGAACGGGUGAGUAACGCGUAGGUAACCUGCCUGGUAGCGGGGGAUAACUAUUGGAAACGAUAGCUAAUACCGCAUGACAACAGUUAUUGCAUGAUAACUGUUUAAAAGGGGCAACUGCUCCACUACCAGAUGGACCUGCGUUGUAUUAGCUAGUUGGUGAGGUAACGGCUCACCAAGGCGACGAUACAUAGCCGACCUGAGAGGGUGAUCGGCCACACUGGGACUGAGACACGGCCCAGACUCCUACGGGAGGCAGCAGUAGGGAAUCUUCGGCAAUGGACGGAAGUCUGACCGAGCAACGCCGCGUGAGGGAAGAAGGUUUUCGGAUCGUAAAGCUCUGUUGUAAGAGAAGAACGAGUGUGAGAGUGGAAAGUUCACACUGUGACGGUAUCUUACCAGAAAGGGACGGCUAACUACGUG
This 495-nucleotide ribosomal RNA is filed under the name uncultured bacterium. RNAcentral describes it as "partial 16S ribosomal RNA". It matches the Rfam family "Bacterial small subunit ribosomal RNA", at positions 28 to 507 of the family's 1533-position model. The record is from RNAcentral.